AAUGAAAAAAACAAAAACAUCCAAGACAAGAAAAUGGUUUGGUUUUGUGAGUUAUGAUAACCCAGUAUCAGCCCAAGCUGCUAUUCAAGCUAUGAAUGGAUUUCAGAUCGGUAUGAAACGAUUGAAAGUUCAACUGAAGAAGUCCAAAGAUAAACCAUACUAAUCAUGUUACAAUCUGCCAUUGUUGACAAAUAACGAUGAACCUGUACCUUGUACUCCUGUUUACUGUGACGUCUGCAUUUGUUUGUGACACGUUGCCAUGGCAUCACCAUCGUGACGUCACAUCACAUGUCGUGUCCGUCCUGCCCUGUUCGCUACGUCACAUGUUUACAAAAAAAAAAAUUAUAAUCACAUUGCAUCGCAAAGUUAUACAUGUAAUACAGCGUUAAUGGUAGAGCCUCAUCGUUCAUUGUCAACAGUUCAAAUACCUCCACGUUCUGGUUUUUGAAAUGGAGUGCCAUUUGCAUGAAUUGUUCUCAGAAAAUUUACAGUGAAAUAGAGAAAAAAAAAAUAGAGACCAGAAAAAUGUACGGAAGCCUAGUAUUGUGUUAUGUUCUGAACAGCAAGUAUGUUUCAAGUUUUACUUACAAACUAAAUGUUGUUACUAGUUUUUUUUCCUUGA
Long non-coding RNA from Saccoglossus kowalevskii, 622 nucleotides. The record is from RefSeq and is a predicted model, not a curated record. NCBI's taxonomy places the organism in Eukaryota, Metazoa, Hemichordata, Enteropneusta, Harrimaniidae.